AUUGAACGCUGGCGGCAGGCCUAACACAUGCAAGUCGAACGGUAACAGGAAGAAGCUUGCUUCUUUGCUGACGAGUGGCGGACGGGUGAGUAAUGUCUGGGAGACUGCCUGAUGGAGGGGGAUAACUACUGGAAACGGUAGCUAAUACCGCAUAACGUCGCAAGACCAAAGAGGGGGACCUUCGGGCCUCUUGCCAUCGGAUGUGCCCAGAUGGGAUUAGCUAGUAGGUGGGGUAACGGCUCACCUAGGCGACGAUCCCUAGCUGGUCUGAGAGGAUGACCAGCCACACUGGAACUGAGACACGGUCCAGACUCCUACGGGAGGCAGCAGUGGGGAAUAUUGCACAAUGGGCGCAAGCCUGAUGCAGCCAUGCCGCGUGUAUGAAGAAGGCCUUCGGGUUGUAAAGUACUUUCAGCGGGGAGGAAGGGAGUAAAGUUAAUACCUUUGCUCAUUGACGUUACCCGCAGAAGAAGCACCGGCUAACUCCGUG
This 490-nucleotide ribosomal RNA is filed under the name uncultured bacterium. Its description in RNAcentral is "partial 16S ribosomal RNA". It matches the Rfam family "Bacterial small subunit ribosomal RNA", at positions 30 to 507 of the family's 1533-position model. The record is from RNAcentral.